AGAGUUUGAUCCUGGCUCAGAUUGAACGCUGGCGGCAUGCCUUACACAUGCAAGUCGAACGGCAGCACGGGAGCAAUCCUGGUGGCGAGUGGCGAACGGGUGAGUAAUAUAUCGGAACGUGCCCAGUCUGGGGGAUAACGUAGCGAAAGCUACGCUAAUACCGCAUACGAUCUACGGAUGAAAGCGGGGGAUCGCAAGACCUCGCGCGAUUGGAGCGGCCGAUAUCAGAUUAGCUAGUUGGUGGGGUAAAGGCCCACCAAGGCGACGAUCUGUAGCUGGUCUGAGAGGACGACCAGCCACACUGGGACUGAGACACGGCCCAGACUCCUACGGGAGGCAGCAGUGGGGAAUUUUGGACAAUGGGCGCAAGCCUGAUCCAGCAAUGCCGCGUGCAGGACGAAGGCCUUCGGGUUGUAAACUGCUUUUGUACGGAACGAAACGGUUCUCUCUAAUACAGGGGGCUAAUGACGGUACCGUAAGAAUAAGCACCGGCUAACUACGUG
This 503-nucleotide ribosomal RNA is filed under the name uncultured bacterium. RNAcentral describes it as "bacterial SSU rRNA". It matches the Rfam family "Bacterial small subunit ribosomal RNA", at positions 8 to 507 of the family's 1533-position model. The record is from RNAcentral.